Molecule: long non-coding RNA, 20874 nt
Filed under: Solanum tuberosum (potato)
Lineage: Eukaryota; Viridiplantae; Streptophyta; Magnoliopsida; Solanales; Solanaceae
Description: long non-coding RNA (STUB_LNC007727)
Source: RNAcentral
CAAACCAUGAGACCAAAUAAACAGUGGCUUGAACUACAAACUAGGUUUCGCAGAAUCAACAAAGCAGUAGAACGGAGUAACAAAUAUCAAGAAGUACUUGCACUACUUGAGCAAGAAAAACAAUCUCGUAGCAACACAGCUAGAUUAUCUCCCAAAAUUCAACCCCAUACAAUUCUCCUUCUUUUCAGUUAAUUUUUUCCUUUCCAACUCAAUUUAGCUUCAGUUUUCUGAUGUCUGUCAGCAUCUUUACUAAUUAAGAAUGAAAAGAAUUCACCCUUGUUGAGCAUGUAGAUUAUUCACCCUUGUUUUUGAGAUGGGGUGCAGCAAUGGGUUGAACAGUAUGGUUUCUAGGAGGAAAGUUAUGGCGGUAAAGUUGCCAUCCCAGAGCACUCCGUCUGUCCACACAUGAGUUCAGAUGUACAUGGUUUCCUGGGCCUGUGUCCUAUAGAAUAUCACAAUGUACUAACAGGUAAGAGCACUUCAAAAUGUUUACCUUUAAACCCAAUUUAAGGUCAUACUUGGAACUUGGAAGAGCUCCUGGCUAACUUAAAACUCCAUCUUGGGUUAGUGAAUUAUCGUAAAUCUCAUAUUUCCAUCCACAAGUGCAAGUUCAUACAGAAACUGCAACUCCUCCCAGCAAAUAUAAGGGAAUGAGAACGGAUCACAACAAACGCUACUAGAAAGCUACCAUAUACCACAUUUGAUUGAAGUUAUUUUGGCACACAAAGCAUAGCAGAAUGGCCCUCUGUACCUAGUCAACUUUGAUACACCAACACAGUACAAGAACAAGUGCUUAUCACAAAUUUGCAAACAGACUUUGAGCCCCAAAUACUUGAAUGCCCGUUUAAGUCAAAAGUCAUCAAGAUUUUAUAAGAUAAGAUGGUAAAAGUAAAAGAGGUAAUAAGCUGAUAAGAUGGUAAAGGUAAAAAGGCACAUGGAAACUGCAAUAAGCUACUGAACUAGCUCUAAGAAAAGUGUCUGCCUUACCAGCUAAACUAAUUUACGACAUCUAAUUACAACACAUACAUGUACAGAAAAAAUCAAUAUCCGUUUAGCAGAGAGACAGAAUAUAACUUUUUAUCUUUUAAUGUCAAACAUAUCCUACUAGUUUAAUACCCCCCACCCACCUCACCCCACCCCUCCCCUGCGUAAUAGCAAGGUGGCAUAUACCCGGAUUAAGUUUGGGAUUAAAUUUUAUACUUGUUUUGUUGAAGGUAUAACUAAAAUUUAUACCUCAAACAUGGUGUUAUUUUAUCCCACCCGGGGGAUAAAUUAGUCUCAUGGUUAUAGGAUUAUAAUCCUGGGAAUUGGGAUAACUUUGGAUGUGAACCAAACAAGCCCUAUGCACAAUUUCAUACUAUACUGAGCAUUCAAAUAUUUUUUUAAUAAUGAAAAAAAGAAAAAGAAACGAUCACCUAAAAGAUUCCCAGAACUUUUUCUUAUGAGGAAAACAUAAUGCCUGCCCACUUUUAGGCGUGGUAGACAACCAAAUCCAUAAAUGAAUCUUUAUACUUGAUUAAGUGACUUCAUUUUUCUUCACAACGAAAGACAACUUUUCUUUACAUUUUUUUAACAUCAAGAACAACUAAUAGCUCGAGCAGCGGAGAAGCACUUAAGAGUGUAAGGGAUUUAGGAAGUAGGAGUAAGACAAAAUACACACAUUGCGAGACUAGCCAGUAAGAUAGGAAUGAAGUUGAGGUGAUAUUAGAUGGAACUGAGGUACCUAAUGAAGACGGUUCAGAAAUGCAGUCUCAGUAUUCCAGAAGAGCAAUUUGAUAGAUGUUAUGCCUAGCAAGUGCACUAUAGUAGGAAUAUUGAAUUGGAAUACUGCCAAAGUUAUGAGAUAAGAGGAUACCCAGGCAAAGUGAAAAUCAAGUUCUAUAAAACGACAGUAAGUUCAGUUAAGCAUGACGAGAAUUGAGUACCUGGAGUGCAAGACUCAUUAAGUGGUAGUAACAUAAGAAAAAAACUCACUUAAUGGUUAAGAUCUGAAUGAUUUAAGACUCGGAAUUUUUUUUAAAAAAAAACAGACUUAAUAACAGAGAUCUGAAUGAUUCAAAUUAAAACCUUUAUUAAGUGCAAACAAAUUGAGGCCUUGGUAUAUUAGUAGUAUAGUUACUAUAGUAUAUUAGAGUACCUCUAAUGUAUGAGAAUCCUUAAAUAUGGAGUAUUGAAACAUCACAAACCCAAAUAGAGCAUUUAUGAUACCGCGGAUUCAUUCAGCCGACCCCAACUAGCUUGAGAUUGAGGCCUAGUUGUUGUUGUAAGAACUGUUAGAAUAUGAAUAGGUUUAUACAAUCCUAUUACAUGAAUAAGUUUAUACAAUCCUAUUAGAAUCAGAGAUGGACCCACAUGUAUAGGUGGGGGUGCACGCGUUAACUUCGGAAAAAAUCAUGUAUAUAUACAUAUCUAUCUCAAAAAACUAUAGAAACAGAGAAUAUAAUAAAGAGUGCACCCUUAGAGAAACAUAAAACUGCUUUAGUCCGCUGGUAGAAGCGAGGAAAUUCACCCCUGGGACCUGCGUUCUAUCCUCGUCAACAUCCCCUUUUUUACUCUUUUUAUUACUUACUCUUUUUAUCACAAACUUAAGGGUUUAUUUAUAACAUCAAAAUUGCUAAAUAAGGGGGAUAGGGUUUAUUUAUAACGUCAAAAUUGUUAAAUAAGGGGAUUCAAAUUCAUGACCAUUCAAUAGCUAUUAAUGACUAAUCAACUACGACAUUAUCCAUUAAUCGUCAUUAAAAAAUUCGUUAUUAUCCAUUAAUCGUUAUUGAAAAACUCACUAUUAUCCAUUAAUCAUUAUUGAAUAAUUCGGUAAUGCUUAAAUUAUGAUAUUAUUAGUGCACCCAGACUCUUUAAAUCUAAUUAAAAUAGGCAUAAGUUUAUACAAUUCUAUUAGAAUAGGAAUAUGUUUAUACAAUCCUAUUUAGAAUAGGAAUAGGAAUAGUAAAUAGUAUCCUACUUGGUAAAGGAUUGUAUAAUAGAUUUGUAGUAUCUACAAUAGGGUCUCAAUGUAAUACUGUAGACACGACAACAAUUCAAUAAUACUCUUUUUCAAUAUUUCUCACAUGGUAUCAGAGCCUCUACGAUCUUGAUAGAAAAUCAAAGAGUUUUCGCUGCCGGCGGGUGGCUAUUACCCAUAUAUCCUCUGCCUGUCUGGUCAAUGAUUAUGUUAACAAAAGUAGGACCAAUGAUGCAUGCAUGAACCCCAUAUUCAAGGGAAGAAAUUCAGUCAGAUAGGUCACCGUGCAUCAAUUUUCGGUGACUUUCUAGGGCUGUUUUGUGUCAACCCCAUAUCCGUCGGUAUUUGUGUAGCACCGUUCCAUCUUUUCGGUGACUACUUUUUCAUAUUUAAUUUAUGUAGCACCGUGCCAUCUUUUCGGUGACUACUUUCUCAUAUCUAAUUUGUGUAGCACCGUGCGAUCUUUCCGGUGACUACUUUUUCAUGUCUGAUUUGUGUAGCACCGUCCUAUCUUUUCGGAGACUACUUUUUCAUAUUUAAUUUGUGUAGCACCGUGUCAUCCUUCCGGUGACUACCUUUUUUUGCAUAUCUAAUUUGCGUGGCAUCGUGCAUCUCUCCGGACUACUUUUCAUAUUUAAUUUGCAUAGUACCGUGGAUUUUCCUGAACUACUUUCUCAUAACUGAGUUGCAUAGCACCGUGUCUUUUCGGGUGACUCCUCAAAUUUGAUCAGUGUGGUUCCAUUCGUCUUUCCGAUGACUCCUCAAAUUUGAUUAAUUUGCGUGGCAUCGUGCAUCUCUCCGGACUACUUUUCAUAUUUAANNNNNNNNNNNNNNNNNNNNNNNNNNNNNNNNNNNNNNNNNNNNNNNNNNNNNNNNNNNNNNNNNNNNNNNNNNNNNNNNNNNNNNNNNNNNNNNNNNNNNNNNNNNNNNNNNNNNNNNNNNNNNNNNNNNNNNNNNNNNNNNNNNNNNNNNNNNNNNNNNNNNNNNNUAUUUUCUAGUUGGGUCGUGACAUCAUUCCGACCCUACCCAUAUAAUUUCUCUUUUUCAGUAGGUUCGUGCCAUCAUUCCGACUCUACCCAUAUUAUUUCUCAUUUUUCAGUUGGGUUGUGCCAUCAUUCCGACCCUACCCAUAUCAUUUUAUUUCUUAGAUCGUGACCAUUCAGCCAUCAAAUCUAAUACUCUGGCGUAUGAGCAUGUUCCGGCCAAUUUUUCGGUGACUUUCUUGUUUAAUAACGACUCAUCUAUUGAUUCCAACACGAUCCAUAUACUUAUACUAGAUUUUGAGCACUUUGUUGCUCAUGGGGAGUUUAGUAGCCUUGUAGGUCGAUUAUGUAAGUCACUCUAUGGUCUAAACAGUCGUUGCAAGUUUGGCUUGGGAAGUUCAACACUAUAAUUUUAUCACUCCGUGUUUUAUCGGCAUUAUGCAUCAAAUUCAGUAUUUCAUGAGAAGAUUAAGCACAUUGAGAUUGACUGACAUUAUGCAUCAAAUCCAAUAUUUAAUGAUAAGAUAAGCACAUUGAGAUUGAUUGUCAAUUUUAUGAAGUCGACUAAUCAACUUGCAGAUAUCUCACCAAUCCCCUCAUUGGGCCUCGUAUUAAUUACAUUUGUAACAAGCUAGGUACAUGAAUUGUAUGCACUAGCUUGAGGGGGAGUGUUAGAACAUGAAUAGGUUUAUACAAUCCUAUUAGAAUAGGAAUAAGUUUAUUCAAUCCUAUUAGAAUAUGAAUAAGUUUAUACAACCCUAUUAGAAUAGGAAUAGGUUAAUACAAUCCUAUUUAGAAUAGGAAUAGGAAUAGCAAUAAGAAUAGAAAUGAGAAUAGUAAAUAGUAUCCUACUUGGUAAAGGAUUGUAUUGUAGUGUCUAUAAAUAGGGUCUCAAUGUAAUAUUGUAGACACGACAACAAUUCAAUAAUAUUCUUUUUCAAUAUUUCUCACAAGAACAAAAGAAAUUUUGUAUUUUUCAAUGCAUUCAUGAUCUGACAGAAACUAGAUACUCUUUCUCCAGUGGUUUCCCAUAAUUAUAAUCUGAUAGAAGAUCAACUCUAAGCAAGAUUUAAUAGUGCAAUGUCAUUAAACGAGGUGAAUUUACUUUUCUGUAUAAGUGAAUAUGAGGCUAAAGUUCAAGCGACCACAUAUCAGAAAAUGUAAUUAAUGAUUUUGCAGACAACUAUUUAGAUUAGAUGCAACAGACAUUAAUAAGAAUCCAGCAGGCAGCUAAAACUUUUCUCACAAAAUGCAAGACAGUAACAACAUUAAACAACAAUCUCAGUACGAAAACUAUUUAUCAAAAAGAUCAUUCAGUAUAAAAUUUCAAAUCUAAUUCUAAGAUCCAUUAUGAAGUACCGGAAAGUAGCAGGCACAACACCAUGUGACAGCCUACAUUAACUAGUUUAUCUGGGUCCUUGAGCUCGCUGCACAUCAUAACCACCCCAAGCACCAGGCCCAUGUCCAUAUUGAGAAUAACCUUCAGCACCACCCUGCACCUAAAAUAUAAAAGAACAACUAAACUUAGAAAAUAAAAUACUAAGGAAAAGAAGUCACAUUUCAUCUAGAUGAACAAGAGCAAAAUACUGUUGUCCUUCUGCUCACUUUGAAAUCCCAUCAAAUGCCAAAACCACAACAGAAUUACUUACAGGAUGAGCAGGGUUCAUAGGAUUCAUUCCGUAAUUAGCAGGAUAAUAAUUCCCUGGAUAACCAGAUUCCGGAUUCCCAUAAUUUGCAUUGUACCCUGCACCUGUGCAGAUAAAGAUGAACUUCAUGAAACUGGUACAGUACUAAUAAUCUAUGUCCAAUAAAACAUGAGAAAUUUUAAAGCAGCAGCUGCGAAAGAUUAUGUGUGUGUCUCUGUCUGUCUAUAUACAAACAAAAAAUUAAACAGGGCACCAAUUGGAGCAAUCAUAUCCAACUGAGCUUGUCAGGGAUUUGAACCUCCAAUAAACUAUUACAAACCCGUUUUUUGUUAUUUUGUUAUUUAAUAAAAGAGGAGAUAAACAGUAUUAUAUGGAGCAAAUUCAAUACACUCCAAAGAAGCUUGUGAAGGACUUAAACCUAAUGUAAAAUUUGAUAAAUUCUACUAUCCACUUAAGGUAAAUAUUAUUAGAAAAACUCUGAAUUCUGAUAUGAAGCAAUAAAUCAAAUAGACAACCAGGUAACUGCGUGAACCAUAUAGCAGCUUAAUACAUUAAAACAAUGUCACUAUUUGAUCAUGCUUAAAAGUGCUCAAUCAAGCAAAGACAAUUCCGCUGAGAAACACAACAGCAAGGAAAAUUUGUCUUCAUCAGAAGAUGGAUCUUUCAACGUGCUUUUUCAUAUCUGCAUUUUACAGUUUCUGAACUUGGAUAAGGAAAAGUACCUGGAUUCCCUACAGCUGCUGCUGCUCGGGCUCUUUUUUCUGCAUUAGCAACCUCAGCUCGAAGUUUUUCAAGUUCUCGAGCCAUUGUUAGCAAUUUUUUCUCCAUAACCUGACCAUGUUCAUAGUUUUCUGCGUAUCCUUUCUUCUCAUUCUCAAUAGCUGCCCUGUAAGCCAAGAGUACAGUAAGAAACUAUCAAUUUGAAAAUGUUCCACAGAGAGCAGAACUCUGGGGAAAAGAAUACCUUGCUCGCUGCAGCUCUUGUUUUAGACCUUCAAUUUCAGCUUUUAUUGCUGGAGCCUGCUGUAAAUCUGCAGUCAUUCUACUCAAAUCCUGUGUCAUUCUUUGAUACUCAACAGUAAGCUCUUGUCUGGCAGCAGUAAACUCCUUAAUAUCCGAGCGCACUCGCAUAAGCUCAGACCUCAUACCAUCAGCUACUUGGAGAUCCAUUUCCAACUUAGCAGACUUCUCAUAAAACUCUCUCAUUUGCACAUCAGUUUCCAUACGCAAAGAACGGGCAUAAUGAUCAGUUCGCUGAAGUUCGUAUUGAGCAGCUUCUACUUCUUGUUUCAGUGCUACAUGAGUUGCAGCCAACCGCUGGUUAUCAACUAAUAAUCCUUGAAUCUCAUCAUGCUGACUAGCCAGGUGUUCCUCAAGAACAGCAGGGUGUGGAGGCAUUGGUCUGGAGCCCAUUCCAAACUGUGAUUCUCUCAUUUCUUCAAGCAUUGCUGGAUGAGGCACCGGCAUGCGACCCCUAGCAAACUGGGACUCAUGCAUUUGCGGAGGAAGUCCACCAUGAGGACCACCUUUCAUUGGAAGUGGAGGCCCGCGAUUUCGACCAGCCAUCUUCUUUGUUUUAUCUUGUCUUGGUUAUGAAAUGAUCAAAUAUAUCUGUUAGGAAAAAACACCAAUUGAUAUCAGUGACUUAUGAAAACUACGAUGGAUAAGGGAAUAAGGGGGUCUUAGUAAAUGACUUCCAUCCCACCCCAAACCCUUGACCUAAAAUCAAUAGUGAGGGACAGAGCAUCAACAUAGCAUAAAAGGGGAAAAAAACUUCUACACCUAAGCAGUAUCAAUUUAUUUUUUUACAGAUGACACCCAAAGCUGUGACCUAGUGGUUUAUGAAGUGGGUGAGCACUUUGAAGGUGGAAAUGAAAAACAACAAAUCAAUGACGGCUCAACCCUAAAGCCACUAAAGCAGUGGAAACAAAUAAGGGCCUCAAAAUUACAAAUCCCUGAAAAACCCUAAACCCCCAAAUUCAGUUCAAACGAACACACAACGAUAUAUGAUUAUCAUGCAUGAGAAAAACGAAGCUCAAAUACAAACAUAUAUACAUCCGAAGACGCCAAAUCGCACAGAAAAAGAAAUAAAUUCUAGCAAGAAGCAAGAUUAAACGAACACAGAGACAGUAAACCCAGAAGAUGAAGGAGAUACAUACCUAAAAAGAGCUGAACAAAUCUGAUGAAGGCGAUGUAAACUGUUAAUUGUGAAAAGCACCGUAUUGAGUCAUGUCAGAAUGAACGCUGCGCUUCCAAGGACAAAAAAUAAAACAAGUAUUUAUUGUUUGUAAUGUUUAAAAAUAUUUAUACAAAGAUUAGAAAAAAGAAAAAAAAUAGUGAUUGAAAAUUCAAACAGGUACAUUUUAAUUUAAUAACAAUAAAAAAUUAAUUAAUUUUUUUUUUAUAAUAGAUAUUUAAGAUAGUUUCUCUCUAUAAAAUAAUUUUAAUAAUAGAAGCACGUUAAUAAUUGUCUUUUUUUGUAAUUUAACUCUCAAAAACACUUCAAAAAAAAAUCAGUCAAACACAAUUUGCUUAUAAAAACACUAAUUAGUCAAACACAAUUUGUUUUUUUUUUCAAAAGCACUUUUUUAAAGAACCAUUUUUAAAAACGCUUUUAAAAAUAAGUUAUUUUUAGCAACAAUCCCAAACAGGCUCUUAGUUGGUAUGGAGAAUUGAUUGAUCCCCUUUAAUACCUUAUGAGUCGAGCCUAUCUCAUAGGGUUUGCCUAUGCGUUUUACAUAUCCUGUGUGGUUUGCAGGCUAUAUCAUUAUAGCAACUGCGGGUUAUACUAAAAUUUUCAAAAAAAAAAAAUUACCUUGAGAUUUCUUUCGGACAUUUUAAGCUCAAACUAAUUUAAUCAUCAUAUAAUUAAAUUUAAAAAUACAUUGUCUUAACUUUAAAUAUCUUCUAAAGAUAACAACACAAAGAAAAAUAUUAUACAACUAAUAAAUGAUACUCCAAUUGACAUAUUCCAUAAGGUGAAGUCUUAAUUCUAUUUUUAAACACUUCUAGAAUAAUUCAAUCAAAAUUAAAAUAUUUAAAUACUUAAAGUAAAUAGCAAACAAACAAAUAUUUUAACAUAAUAUUCUUCAUGUACUCAGAUGUAUAAAUUUUCAAUGUGAACUUAUUAUGUUUAUCUCUUUAACAUAAUUUAUCAACUGGAGAAUACAAGCAACCCAACCAGCAUAAUUUGUCCAUAUAAAAUUUAAUUAAUUAUCCAUGAUUGUCAUGAAAUGAAUACAAUACGAACAUUAUUAUACAUUUUGUUGAUAAUGCAAAGACAAAAAAAAAAAAUCUCAAAAAUUCUUUUUCCGUAGUUGCUCUAGAACAAAUAUCUUUCAAUAACUUUUCAAAUAUAUUCUUCUCAUUUGAGUAAAUUUUAUUUCUUCAAACUUCCAGUCACGAGUAUAUGUAUUUGAGAAAGUCGUGGAACAUUUGGCAGCGACCGGUCGCAAUGAUUUGCACCUAGUCGGAGCAAAAAGCAAAAAUCACUUUCAAGAUAGUUACUCGCACAAUAAUGUUUUGACUCAGUAUUGUUUUUUAAUAAGUUUCUCGACUCUUAGUCAGAGAUUUCGGGUCGAUAGGCACAAUAGUAACAAACGGCUAAUGACAAUUAUUCAAUGUAAGAAGACCCCACUUCAUGGAAUUUUGAAGCACCAAAUUGAAGUGAAUACCACAAAGGCGCCUAGAGAUAGCAAUAAAACAAACCAACGACUAGUUUUUUUUUUCUUCCAAAUAUAUGUACAUAAUUCAUUCUCUUAAUCAUUUCAUCAUAUCAAGUUUUGAACUUUCAUCAAUUUUUCUGAUACUUGAUAUACAACAUGGAAGCAAUAUGGAAUUUAGAAGAGAAAUGGAAAAUAUCGAAUCGAGGAGCUAUAGCCUUACUGGUAAUUUGCACCUGUUCCUUAGUUAUUGGAACCUGCAUUAUUGCUGCUUUAAGGAGAAAUGUAAGAAGGAGAACAGAGCCGCGUGUUGAUGAUUCAACAGACAUAGAUUGUUUAGAGCCACAAGCAGAGCUGGGUCCGGUGAAGGAGGUGCUUACCAGUUCUGUGAGGUGGAGCCAGAAAGAGAAGCUUUCUCCAUUGCUCGUUAGCGGAGAUCUGCAAACUGAAGCUGAUUUUGGAUGGCAAAAUCGCGGUUCAGCUUCACCUGUGUGGAAAAGACCUAUACUUAUGGGUGAAAAGUGUGAGCUGCCAAAGUUCAGUGGUCUUAUACUCUAUGAUCAGAGAGGUCAUGCCACUUCAUCAAGUCGAUAAAUGGAUUCAAAUACGAUCAGGUAAAACAUAAAUACAUAAUAAGAGGCAAAAACAUCAAGAGAAACAACAUCUAAUCAUUCCGAAGAAUUUAUAUUUAUAUACAUAGUUCAGUUUUUACUAUACUCCGAAAGCAUACGUAUAAGUUCAGGAUAAUUACUUAUAAAAUAAUGGAUGCUGAAGAACACUGUAUUUGUUACUGUCAUACCUAGGGGCGGAUAUACUGUAAAACAGACUUAAAAGUUCACGUGAACUCAAUAGCUUUUGUCCAGAUCUCGUAUAUAUAUAUCAAGGAAUCCACCAAGUAUCUAUAAAUAUUUCAUACUAUACCAUCAGUUUCUUUAUUUAAACGUAAUUCUGCAUCUUCAAUCUAUGAUUUGAUAAGGAAAAGGGGAACAAGAAAAAUAUAAGCAUUAGAAUCAAUGCAGAAAGAUAUUCAGUUAACGGGUAUAGCUGAAGGCGUUCAAUGACUAGGGAACUGCCAUCACCUUGAGCUUGGAAUUCCCACCAUUCUCCACGCAAUCAAGUGAGAACUUACAAUCACCUAGGACAAAUAAAGGGAAAUGUACAAAUUAAAAGGUAUACUUGUUAUUUAACAGCUCGAGAAAGAAUGAAAGAUAUAUGUUCACAAAAUACACAAGUAUCGAGAAUUUUACCUUCUUCCUGGGUGUUUUUUCAUGCACAAGACAUUACUUUCUUAGAUCUCUAGUUCAUGAAUAAGACACUAUAAGGCCUUCGGCAGAGUCCUCCCUUGAAGAAUUUCUGUAAUGUGCAAAUAAGAGCAAUUGUACAACUCCUAAAAGUGUUCCGAUGCCAUUUGGUACCUGAAAUUUAAGUAGAAACCCUUUGUGAGUCAGGCAAGAGGAACAAAAGACAAAAAAAUUUGGAAAUUUCCUAAGUGAGAGAAAGAAACUCACAUAUAUAAAGGGAUCAAAACUGAAAAUUCCAUACAAAAGGAAAGAGGCACUCAUUAGGAAGCUGGAGAGGGACAGGAAAAAAGGCAUGAAUUCAACACUCCUGGUCCUGAUCACCAGAUUCUGGAAUACAAGUUAGUCAGUGAAUCCGCGGAAAAACGUUAGAGAAUAAGAACUUGAUGGAAAAUUCUGAAUGUCAACGGUUAGACAUACAAUAAUUAACAGUGGGGAGGCAAACAUUGAUAUCAAGGAAGCACAACUCAGGGUGCCAAUGAUGACGCGUCGGAGUUCCAGAUCAAGUAUAAACAAGCUUCCAAUUACAAUAAUUGCAAAUAGGCCAAAGACUGUGAGUAUCCAUCCGAACAUCCUGAACUACAAACAACAAUGAUGGGCAUACGGAUUAACAGAUUACGUUAUGAAUGAGUGUGAAAUUGCUUUAUUAAUUAAAUAAUACAACAGAAGAGUAUUAACCUUUUUCUCUUUCUCUGUAUACAUUACAUAAAGUACAAUGUAGGCAAGUUGAAAAACAGCACCAACUGAAUUAACCGAUGUAACCAACAAAUUGUCGGGAGAUACGAGAGGGGUGCCAUACCAGGCACAAAUUAAGCAGUUCAAGAGCCCGUAUAUGUAUGGCAACCCCGAGAACUGUUCAGUUGAUUGAUUUCUCAUUAUUCUCAUGAAUGUAGGCCUGAAAAUAAAGAUAAAAAUGAUACUGGAUUAUGGAGAAAGGAGUAAUUGGUCAAGGUGAACUUUGUUUUCUAUAUUAUGGAAGUGUGAUAAAACAAAAUGAAGGAUAAAAAGCUUAAGACUCACAUUGGAGACAAAAACAACCCAAAAGCAAAGAUAUUCCCUGCAACAAGGAGCUAAGAUGGUUAACGUUUUCCCUCGAGUCGUGAUAAAGUAUCAACAAUAAGUUUGCAAACCUCAUUUAAGAAAAAAUAAAAAAUUGUUGCAAAGACAAUAGCGAGUAAGCUGAGAAGUAAAGGGUAUUAUCUCGUUUUCCCUCUACAAUCUAUAUCAUUUCACGGCCAGGAAAAAUAUGCCUCCAAUAUGAUUGAGCAAAAAGUGCUUUAAUUUUAACAGGAAAAACACUUCAUCAAGAGUUUAAUCUAGAAGUAAGUUUUAGCUCAAAUAGAGCUACUAAAAUUGCUUUAGGCCUAAAAGUUUGACCCCAUUUCGGACCAACCGUUUGCCCACUCUCAAAAAAAUGUUAAUACUUCUAUCAGAAGUUAGUUUGGUAAAAUACACCCAAAAAAUUACUUCUUUAUUGUACGAAUCACUUAUUGUAUAAGUGAUAUGAGCAAGUUAUACACACACACACACAUUUUUUACUUAUACUUUUGAAAGAAGUACUUCUGCAAAAGCUAGCAGUAAAUCGGGUCUAAAUUUAUAGGCUUAACCUCAUAUAUAGAAAAAGAAAUUAAGAGGUUGCUAAACAGUACACAGUACAAGCAAUCAAUAAUAUAUGAAUGUAACGGAAACUACAAGCAGACAUUUUUUUCAUGCCAUUCACUAGCACGGGGAUGAUCAACCCGUUUGAAAGUUGAAACAUCUGUUGGUGCAGCCGUGCAGUUAGUGAUUAGAAAUAGAAUAGAAGGCAAGUUUAAAUCAAAAGAUGACUACUGGAGGCAGAUAUAGCCUUUUGGCUAUAGGUUCAUCAAACCCAUACUUCUAGAGUCGAGGGUCUAUCAGAAACAAACUCUCUAUCCACAAAGGUAGGGGUAAGGUCUACGUACACCCAUUCUCCCUAGACCCCACCAAUGGAAACUAUAUUGGGUAUGUUGUUGUUGUAGUACAGAUAAGGUAAAACCUAUCCAAAUCUCAGAUUCUCCCUAACAGACUACUUCUUUUUGCGGUUUACCUUCACGUGGGCACAGGAUAAACCCCACUCCACCAUAAUAGCCCGUAAGCCACACAUGAAAGGUAAACCGCACUAGCCAAGCCCUGUGCGACUUCAAAGCAAACGAAUUUUCUAUCCCCAACNNNNNNNNNNNNNNNNNNNNNNNNNNNNNNNNNNNNNNNNNNNNNNNNNNNNNNNNNNNNNNNNNNNNNNNNNNNNNNNNNNNNNNNNNNNNNNNNNNNNNNNNNNNNNNNNNNNNNNNNNNNNNNNNACCCCCCCCCCCCCCCCCAAUAUAUUUUUUUAUUCUCACAACAUCUUGAACUUCAACAACUUCCCCAAUUCUUCUAGCAAAAAAAUAUGUUCACUUAGCUAUCUUAAAUAAUCUUCCACAAAGUAAAGAUCAUCCCUUUAAUUUUUGCCAAAAAGAGUUGCAAUGAUUCUAUAUAAAAUUCAGAAUUAUUUCUAAAUCUUGUACAAAAUAAAGAAACACUUUGCAGAAAUCACCAAGACCAAAUUUUUAUGACAAAAAAAGUGUAGUAUAGUAAUAAUUACACAGAAAAAAAAAUGAAGUCUUACCGGCCAUUCCAGCUGCAUCUUUACAGAUUUCAAUAACUUGAGACGAAGCCAAAGAAACCAUCAAAUUUUGACACCACAAAAAUCAAUCUUUAAAUCUCCAACAAGAAAAAACUCAACUCUUCACCGCACCAAACUAUACUUCCAUUUCCACGAUAUUUGUCAAUAUUUUAAAAAAAUAUACUUUAUCUUUUUCGUUUUAUAGGAAUUUGUGUGAUUAUAAAUCAUUUCAUUAAGACAUUAUUAUGUGCAAGAGGGAUGAAACAAAAUAAUCCUGAGAUGAAAAAAUAGUCCGAGAUAAAAAAAAAUUGUGUCUUAUUUGAUAAUCAUUUGGAACAACUUAUCUCAUCAUUUAUAUAUAUAGUGGGAUAACUAGAUAGUUAAUCCCAGAAUAAUUCUAGGAUAACUUGUUUCCAAUCAAAUCGACAAUCCUAAAUUAUUACUCCCUCCGUCCCAUUUUAUGUGGCAACAUUUGAUCGGGCACGGAGUUUAAGAAAUAGAUAAAGACUUUGAAAUGUUUAUCAAAUUGCCCUUAAAAAAAUAGACUUAUUUUUCUCUCUCCUAAUAAAUGUAUUGGAGUACUCUUUUUAAGAUUAAGUGGACCAACAAGGAUAAAAGAGGAAUUGUACCUUUAAAUACUUACCAAAUAAGGAAAUGUGACAUUCUUUUUGGGACUGACCAAAAAGGAAAUAUUGCCACAUAAAAUGGGACGGAUGGAGUAUUCAAUAUAAAAUACAUUAUUUUUUUUGGAACUAUCUAAAGAAAAAAAGUGAAUCAUAUAAACUACGAAAUUCUUUUAAAAAAAAAACAAGAAGAAAUUGAUUAUGUUUUUUUGGCCCUAUAAAAAUGUACAUUUUUCAUAACUUAUAUUUUAAGCAUUAAAUAUGUCAUUUAUAGGUCCCGUUGUCAUUUACAAAGCCAAAGGGGCCAGAUUGUGACAUGUUUUUUUAAUGGACAGCGCGUGUGAUAUUUGGCACACCAGUACCUUUAUAUUUAUUCUAUUCUAACUCUCACGGGUAUUAUACUUGCGGCCCACCGAACCGCGAGUCAUAAUUUUUUUCUCGUUGAGUUAGUUUUUAAAGUGUGAGUAAAGUUUAAAAUCUAAUUUGAUAUGAUACUAGAAUUAGAUUCAUUAUUGAGUCUGAUAUUCGGGGACAGCACUAGAGCCUUCUAAAUAGAUAUACUCUCUGUUCUUGAAUGUUAUGCUUUGGACUAAAUAGUGAAAUCUCGAAUUUUAAAAAAUUGGAUUGGAGAUAUCGAAUCGAGAUGAGAUUACUAAACACCUUAUAAUUAAAACUACAAUCUUACUUCUUUUGAAUUAGCUUUUGAGUAGGGUUAGAUUAGGUCAGGUCGAAGACCUGAUUUAACUUUUAUAAUAUUUAAUUUUUCUCAAAUCUUGUCAAAUCGACUGUAAUUCACAAGCUGAUGGUGGGUCAUUUGUUUAGUAAAAUAGUAGUAUUUAUUUUGCUAUCUUACUAAAUUUUCCACAUUUUUUGAAGUAUUAACAAAACUUGCUUGUGUCUUAUACUUAUUUGCGACGAGUCAUGAUUUUGAUACAAUCUUUGUUGGAUUGACAAAAAUUACCUAUGUAAUUUAAGAGUGGGAAAGUCUUAUAAUGUUUGUCUGAAAUAAUAAUACGAAAGUCAUGUUUCAACUAGAUAUUUUUAAUUUAAAUUUUGAAAGAAAAAAAAUUACACGCAUUUUCAAAUAUUUAUCAGAUAGUUAAGCAAAUCAUAUAAAACAUGUUACCUCCGUUAAAUUAUACACAUUGACCUUAAUUGAAAUCGACUUGAAAUUUUACGACUUGUUGAGACUAAUGUGUAUAAUUUAAAGAGAUGACACAUUUUAAUUAACUUAUCUACACAAUACGUAUUUGAUAAUACCAACACAUUUUUAAAAAAACGAGGCAAACGUGUGUAAUAGGAAUAAGUUAUUAUGUGUUCAGAUUCUCAAACAAAAUAUGUCAUAGUUCGAAUAUCUAAAUAAAAUUUAUUAGCUCAAAAAAUUAUCGAUACUACCUAGUACCUACAUAUUUAUCACUUAAUCAUGAUCAAAUUAAAAUUAUUUGAUUUUAUUAAUUAAUAUAAUAUAAAAUUCAUGCAAGUUUGAAACAUCCACAUGAAGUAAUACCAGGGGUGAAUUUAAGUAUAAAAAAUGGAUUAUCAAACCUGUGGUCAUUCGACAAAACUCGAUAUAUGCUUUGUAUAAUUCUUAAAACAUAUCAAAUAUUAAAUAAAGGAACCCAUCAUCACAAAUGGCUGGAUGAUUCACUAGUUUUACUGUUGGUUUUGAUGGUGAGGCUGAGGGAUCGAUUCCGAUAACGUCUUUUUAAAAAUUAAUUUUAAAACACCAUUAUUUAUUAUUUUUUUAAACAAAAUAAUUUAAAAGCUUGAGAGCUCUUAACUUUUUUUUUGAAAAAUUUUCAUUUUCUUUUUAUAAAGAGUACUUUUAAAAUUUCUUGAAAUGCAAAAUUGCAUGUUUUUUUUAUAAAUGGUUUCUUUUAAUAAUUCCUUUUCAAUCGAUAAUUCAUAUAAUCAAUACAUCUAAUUUUUCUUGCGAUAUAGUACUUGAGAUAUAUCAAACUUUUAAGAAAUUUUUCCUUUAAUAUAUUUUUUUUUCCGCAUAUCAUUAUUGUUGAGGCCCUCAAAUUUGGGAGCCUAAAGUAAUUGUCUUUUUCUUAAAAUCAUGAGGAUAGUAUUUUAUCAUGAUGUCGGAUCCUAAAUUUUUAUGAAGGGGCAGAGCCGCCUCGAUAAUGAUGCACCAGUCUUUCUGAAAUCCUAAAGCUGCCCCCCGAUAAUGAUGUAUCAAUCUUUCUGAAAUCCUAAAUUCGACUCUGAGUAGUACCUGACAAAUCUCCAGAAAGUACCCUAUUUCCAAAGGCAUUUUCCACCAGACAGGGAGACAAAUAAACCAAAAAAUAAUUACAGAGCAAUUUCUUAAGGCAGAGAACAUGUUGAUAUUUUUAAAUCGAAAGAGUGACAAAUGAUUAAGCUAAAUUACUCUCUGUUUACUUUUAGUUGUCCACUAUUUCAAAUAUAAAUUUUUAUUUUUAUUUAUCAUUUAUCAUUUUUCACAUGAUAUCAAGAAAAGACAAUUAUUAAUUUUUUUUUCAUGUUUUCCUCUUAACAUCAAUUAAGGAUCGAUUAAUAGGGAAUUCGGAAUAGUAUGGUAAAUUAGUCAUGUCAAUCUUAAUAAGUAUGUCAAAUCCAAAUAUGACAAGUAAAAGUGAACGAAAAGAAUAAUUAAUUAAGUAUAAUCAUAUUACUUGCUAUAUAAAGUUGUUUGAAACACAAGAAUAAAACACGAAUACGUAACAUUAGUUAAUACUAAUAAUUAAAGGGUAAUGCUAAAUGGCCAGAAAUAUUUGGCCAGAAAUGUAAAAAGACUAGAAUAUCCUUGUUUUAAUUUUUGCAUUUAUUUCCUCAAAAACUUUUCCCUCCAAACAAAACUAACUUUUUUAUAUUUCCCAAACUCCUUGAACUACUAAAACACAAACUAUUUGGCUGCCAAGGAAAGUGAAAAAAUGUUUUUGUGUGCGUAUAGUUUAUUAGAUUUUAUUUUUUUAAAAAAAUAAAAUUAAUUGUUUAGUUAAUAAAAAAAUUGUACGCUUUAGUUAAAAAAAAAAAAUUGUAAUUUUGUUUUUAUACAUUAAUAUGUUUUUCAUUAUAUACCAAAUUAUGUUCAACAUAUACAUAACAUACAUUCUUUCCUCUACCCCUCCCCUGAACUCAAUUAUGAUCAUAAGGUGCCAACGCAUACCUUUGAAAAAUUAUUUUUUCGCUUAAAAUAAACUUCUUUAUUGAAAAGAGACAAUUAAAUUUCUCAUUAAUAAUAACUACAAAUGACUAUCUUAUCUACUUAAGAUUAUACUUAAUUAUUUUGUAAUAUAAAAUUAAUAAAAUAUAGUAAUUAAGCAUAGAUUAAAAGAGUUUAAUUAAUUUUUUCUUUAAAUAUAAUCAACUAAAUAGAUUAGUNNNNNNNNNNNNNNNNNNNNNNNNNNNNNNNNNNNNNNNNNNNNNNNNNNNNNNNNNNNNNNNNNNNNNNNNNNNNNNNNNNNNNNNNNNNNNNNNNNNNNNNNNNNNNNNNNNNNNNNNNNNNNNNNNNNNNNNNNNNNNNNNNNNNNNNNNNNNNNNNNNNNNNNNNNNNNNNNNNNNNNNNNNNNNNNNNNNNNNNNNNNNNNNNNNNNNNNNNNNUUUUUUUCUAGAAAAUCAAUGCGUAACAACAACUCCUUUAAAUAAAUAAGAGUAAUUGUUUAGCCAACUCGGUCAAUUUUAGAUUUUAUUUUUGAGUGUUGUUGAUAUAAAUUUUUAAUAUUUAAAUUUAGAUAUAAAUUAUCUUUUCACGAUUAGAAAUUAUAAAUUUAAAUAGAUAAUCUACACUUUACUCUCUUUUAUACUUUUCAAAAAAAUUCUUAUCAUUAAGAAAUAAGAAAUGGAAAAUAAAUAAACAAAAAAAAAAAGUAAAACGGGGAAAAUUUUGAAAUUGAAAAAGAGAUAUAUUUUUUUACUACUACUGUAAUGUAUAUAUAUAUAUAUAUAUUGUUUUUAUUUUUUUAGAUCUUGAAAAUUUCAAGUGAGAAGAGUGGAAUAUAUAUAUAUUGUUUUUAUUUUUUUAGAUCUUGAAAAUUUCAAGUGAGAAGAGUGGAAUAUAUAUAUAUUGUUUUUAUUUUUUUAGAUCUUGAAAAUUUCAAGUGAGAAGAGUGGAAUAUAUAUAUAUUGUUUUUAUUUUUUUAGAUCUUGAAAAUUUCAAGUGAGAAGAGUGGAAUAUAUAUAUAUUGUUUUUAUUUUUUUAGAUCUUGAAAAUUUCAAGUGAGAAGAGUGGAAUAUAUAUAUAUUGUUUUUAUUUUUUUAGAUCUUGAAAAUUUCAAGUGAGAAGAGUGGAAUAUAUAUAUAUUGUUUUUAUUUUUUUAGAUCUUGAAAAUUUCAAGUGAGAAGAGUGGAAUAUAUAUAUAUUGUUUUUAUUUUUUUAGAUCUUGAAAAUUUCAAGUGAGAAGAGUGGAAUAUAUAUAUAUUGUUUUUAUUUUUUUAGAUCUUGAAAAUUUCAAGUGAGAAGAGUGGAAUAUAUAUAUAUUGUUUUUAUUUUUUUAGAUCUUGAAAAUUUCAAGUGAGAAGAGUGGAAUAUAUAUAUAUUGUUUUUAUUUUUUUAGAUCUUGAAAAUUUCAAGUGAGAAGAGUGGAAUAUAUAUAUAUUGUUUUUAUUUUUUUAGAUCUUGAAAAUUUCAAGUGAGAAGAGUGGAAUAUAUAUAUAUUGUUUUUAUUUUUUUAGAUCUUGAAAAUUUCAAGUGAGAAGAGUGGAAUAUAUAUAUAUUGUUUUUAUUUUUUUAGAUCUUGAAAAUUUCAAGUGAGAAGAGUGGAAUAUAUAUAUAUUGUUUUUAUUUUUUUAGAUCUUGAAAAUUUCAAGUGAGAAGAGUGGAAUAUAUAUAUAUUGUUUUUAUUUUUUUAGAUCUUGAAAAUUUCAAGUGAGAAGAGUGGAUGAGAGUUAUGUUUUCUUUGGUGAAUUUUUUGGUUCCUUUCCCAUGUUUAACUAUGAAAUCAUCAAUAAUUAAUCUCAUUAAUCAUUUUCAAUGUAUUGGAAACAUAAUUGAAGAAUAUAUUUAAUAUUUAAGUUAAAGGGUAAAAAUGUCCAAAAAUAAACUAGUUUAUAGUGUGAACAUGUCUUUUUUCAUUCUGGCCAAAUUAUGGCCAAAUUUUUAUGGCCAAAAGGAUUUUUCCAUAAUUAAAAGGUCCUAAAAAUCGUUAUUAAUAAUCUAGUUGAAACAUAAAAGUUAGGGAAAUACAUAACUACAUUUUGUUACUUCAAUAAACCCAAAAAGUACUCCUCUCUUUUUGGUUCUAAUCACAUCAUAAUUAUGUUCAUUCAAAUAAUUAAUCCCACUAUAUAUAAAACUUCAUGACAUAUAACAAACUUUUUUUUCUCAUUAUUACUCAUCAUCACCUAAAUAAUUUAUGUACAAUUAAUUUUUCUUGGCCUACAAAACGUAUGACUCCUAAAUAGAAAUUGCUUUCUUUGAAGAGGAUGUGGCUUGACCAAAAAAAGCUAAGAAAAAAAGAGAGAGAGUAGUGAAUGGUUGUUAAGAUGGACGAUGUAGAAACAAAGUUAGAGUGUGUUAGGUAAGGCUUGUGACAAGAACAAGAGUCUACAAAAUAAGACAAAGAAAGAAAAAAAAAAUUAUAUUACGUUGAGUUGACAUACUGUGUGAUUUAUCCAGAAUAAAAAUAUGUACAUUUAAUUGGGUUGACGUAUAGUAUCACUUAUCAAAUACAUUGGAUCAUAUGAUAUUUUUCCGUUCUGAUCUCUCCGAUCGAGAUAUCACUUGUUUCAUCAGAGAGAGAUAAAUUGAAUGAUGAAUGAUGCAAAAAUAAAGUUGCUAGGUGUUAGGUAACACAAUGUUUUUGAGGUUGGGUGUUAGGUAAACCUUGUGGUGUGAACAAGGGGAUGUUUGAUUGGUGGGAUAACCGGGUACAUGAUAAUAAUUUUGGGAUAAAUUGUAAAAUUAUUUUAUUUUAUAUUAGAUUAUUAGUAUUAAUUUAUCUCAAUAGAACCUUUUACACUAAAAUGCUAUGAUUAUACUAGUUGCUCUUAGAGGUGAAGAAGUCCUAUCAUCCUCGCACAAUAUCAAAACCCCUAUGGAAUAUAUAGCGAGUAGGAGUGUUUAAUUUGGGUAAAAAUCGAUCUAAAAUAAAAAAAUCAAAUCAAUUUGAUUAAAACAUUUUAUUUGAAUUUGGUUUGGCAUUGUCAAAAAAAAAAAACUCAAGAAAUAUUUGAACCAAAUCGAUAAUUUAUAUAUAUGUUUUUUUUAAUAAUUAUAUAUACAUAAAAAUCCAUAUUUAAAACAUCAUACUCUAGCUGUUGGCUCUUCCAAAUUUGAUUUCAUUUUCUCCCUUAUCAAUGAAGACUCAACUUGGAAGGAAAAAGUAAAUAUUGAUAUGUGUAUGUUUGCUAAUUACUUUUUUUUUUUUUACCCUAUCUUGUCUUUUGAUUUUAUUUUCUUGUAUAAUCAACAAUUAAACCGUUGAACAAUCAAAACAAAUCUAAUCAAUAUUCAAAUCGAUAAAUAUAUUAUAGUUCGUUUGAUUUAAUUUUAAUAAACACUCUUAAAUAGAAGAAUUUUGAAAAAAAUAGAAAUACAUUUUACUCGUGUGAGUAAUUUUGUAAAUUACUACCACCACACAACAAAAUUAGUUACUUUGGAGUUUGGUCCCCCAUAUGAACAAACCAAUUGCAUGAAUGAUGGUAGAAAUUUGAGUGUAUUUGAAUGUUUAUAGUACUAAAUUAAUUUACUUUACCAUGGUUAAGUAUAUAAAGCUAAGUUAAUAUUUAAAACGUAGUAGUUUGAGAUUACAAAAUUUAUUUAAAUUACGGGGUUUUAAAUCAAUAAGUAUAUAUAUUCAUAGAGUUUCUAAGAUAACUAUAAAAUUGAGAUUAAAGUUAUUGAAUUUGAUUGAAUAGAGAAGUAUUGAGAAUACCUUAGAAUUAUUAGUUUCAUCCCUAAACUAUUAACAACUUUAAAAGUACCAUUUACUUGACUAACUGAACUUAAAUAACCCCGAUCUUACAACAUGAGUGAAAUACACCCCUAAAUUCUCGCCAAAUUUAGAGGUAUUUUCAACACUUCUUUCAUUUUUUUAUUAAGUUACCCACACAAGAGUUUGAAAUCACUUGCUAUGUCUUGUGGCAAAUCGAGAUGUAUAUCUAAGUUUAGUUAAU